Molecule: long non-coding RNA, 5905 nt
Filed under: Zea mays
Lineage: Eukaryota; Viridiplantae; Streptophyta; Magnoliopsida; Poales; Poaceae
Description: long non-coding RNA (ZMAY_LNC005224)
Source: RNAcentral
GGGCAAAGUCGGUAUUUGCCCACAUAACCCUAACUAGGGUUACUUAACACUCCCCCUUGGGCGAAUACCGCGACCAACACAUGCCUCAUUAAAACUCCGAAAAACCCAGUGGGAAAAAUGUGGAGAAAGAGUGCAUGGUGAUACAAAUUGCAUUUGCACUUUAUUGCCUCGUUAAAAACCUCAUGUGAGAAAUUUCAAGAAAACUCACAAAGGGAAAAAGAGUACAACAACUGUCAUCGGAACAGAUUUCGAUCCUUUGGGAUCUAGAUUCUAUCGAAUCUUUUACAAGGGCUAACUUUAGAAAUGUGCUCCCCCUGAUCCUUGCAAAACCGUAUCAAUAAGGCAAAAUAUCUUCUUCUAGAAGUAUAUGUACAUAAAGAUUUAGCAAACGGAUUGCAUAUCCUUGCAAGGACUAUUUCAGGAACUUUACCUCUACUCACUUCUAGGAUAUACGAGGUAAGUGCACAUAUCAAUAUAAAUAAGCCACUUUGACUGAUGGUGUACGAUCGACUAGAUCUAUAUAUUUGAUAGAAAGUUCCAUAAAGGUUCAUAUAUUGAUCAUCAAGCUCACGCCUUCAGGGCAUAGAAUAUGACAUUUAUUGUCUCACGGAUGUGAUCAAUAUAAGCAUUCGCUCCCCCUGACGAUGACAUCUGUCAAAGUCGUUAUCUCUCAUAACUCAAGCAUAUUCUUCAAGAUAUAUGUCUCGUUAUUCAUCUGGAAUAAUGAGAAUGGAUGAGGUUGGGGUGCUAUCAUUUUCUAUCUUACACCACAAUUUAUACAUAGUUGUGCAAAGCAAAUAACAUGUCCUUCAAUAGGACUUAGGGGAUAAUAUAGUUGCAAUAGUACAUAUUCUAAAUAUGACACAUCGCUCGAGGCGUUCAUCCAUUGCAACAUCUAUGAUGGUGUAAUAAAAGUCCAUCAAAGAUCGUAAUCCAUCAGGGAUUUUUCAUCGACAAGAUAUAUCGUUAUAGUCUGCCAUUCUGGCAUAAUGGGGAUAUUUUGCCAGUAACACCUAAAUCUUAUAGGUUUCUGCCAUCAAGGCUUUAGAGGAUAUCGUAAUUCCACAUAUAGUGGAAAAUAUCAUGAGUAAAACUCGUGAAAUGCACAUGUGCUUAUUUGGUGAACUUCAAGUCCUUUGGUACCUCAUCAUAUUCCUUUUCGGGUAUGUAUGGGUCUUUAUCCCUUAAUAGGGGUUAUCAAACUUUGGUGUUCAACACAGACUUUGUUUCUUCUGAAAAGGUUCCAUCUGGGAACUAUAAUCUCAGCUAGGAGAUAUUCUCCCUACACAGGAGAGUGUUCAUUCGUCAGGAAUGUAUUAUUCGGUAUGAGAUUUAUAUGUUGCAUAUAAUUCAAAUAUAUGAGUCCUCCUAGGAUCUCAUGACGGAUCUUCAGAAUCCUAUUAACUGCAUAUUAUAAUUCAUGCCAUUUGCCAGAUAUAUUACAUAGCGGAAUAGUGUUUAUUCAACACAUAUGUGGGAUAGGUCUCUCACAAGACCACUUGAACCAUCGCAUUCACCACACAUUAUUUCAAUAGUGCCCAUAAUGUCUGAACUUCAAGCUCGCGACUUUCACUUUGCGAUUCUUGGUUCAACCUCGAUUGCAUUUAUUAAUGACCCGAUAAGAGAGCUUAAAGCACUCAUGCCUAGGACUUUGUUUAGGAUCCAUUUGCAAUCUAAAGAGGCAAUAUAGGUGUCGACAUAUUUGUCUCCCACAUUUAAUAAUGAUCUCCGUUAUUUCCCAAAACGAAAGAUUCAUUGUUCCGUAUUCCCAGCACAAUGAUAUUGCGCGCAUUGCUAGGAAUUUCAUCAUCAAGAUGAACCUCUUCGUGAGGCAAAUCACCAUCAGGGUGAAUUAAUCGGAGGAGAGUUAUCACAGACCACGUGAAUCUGCAAUCAGGACAUAUGCUUUGACUAAGGUUGAUGGAUCAUAUUCGCAGGCGUCCCCGAGAAUAGAUCAAAUACCAAUAAGUCAAAUGUGGAUAUGAUAUUAAUCCCGGGUAUAUCCACAUCUACAUCAAGUAGAAGCAUUCAAACCAAUAUGGUUACUCCUCAACGAUUUCUGGCAAACUCCAUAUACACAGGAGUACACACCGAACGACAGGUUCAGUUUGUUCUUGUGUGCGUUUAAUAGAAUAUUGCGGCAUUACACUAUAUGGGCAUUCCUCCCCCUAAUGCCGAGAUGUUCUAAAAGCAUACAGAUAAAAUCCCCAACCACAAUCAUCUAGUUUGUGGCCAAUGUAUGCUAUUGUGGUGAUUUAUUUGGGAAAUCUUACGCACAUUACAGAUAGGGGUUUUAUGCAGUGAGCUUUGGACUUAGAUUAAUGUAGUGGCAUGAAUACUACAUAUUUGUGCUUCAACAUGAAGGGUUACUAUCAACAUCCCACGAGACACGCAACAACAAGUUGCUUCGUGGUUACAAUUCCGCAAACUUAUUGUUAAUAUUACCAAGUGCAUAGUCAAUCAUUAAGAUUUAGACUAAUAUGCGCAACACUAUUUUAUCCAUAUGGGUCCUUCAGGGGCUCAUGCAUACCAUUCGUCGUUUGGAGCCAGUAGUUGACUUCAGAUCAACAACUAAAAUGACCAUCAGGGUCUAGCGCUCACAAGGACAUUCACUGGUUGCAUUGUGCUUUCAAGCACAUAGGAGAAUUGUGCGUAUAUAAUGUUGGUAAAGUGCACGACAUCAGGCCAAUGCUGCCAAGCAGAGAUUUUUAUAUGCAGAGAUGUAUAGUCCAGCUCGUUUUAUUAUUGCCCAUGGUUUACCCAAUUACUCAUACCGUUCUGAAAUUGGGUAUCGAUUUAUGCAACAUUUUUAGGUAUAUUAAUUUUGAGAGAGAACUUAUAACAAUAGUUAAUUCUUUGUGGUGUUGCCAGCAGGGCAAACACUUCUCCUCAUAUUAUAUACCAAAUUGUUCUAUAUAGCAUUAUUUCGAUCUCUUCGUUGUUCGGCAAAAAGAGAAGCUUUGGAAUAGAACAUACAUGGCCAAGAAUUCAUUUUAUCUGGGAAAAAUCACCAUAUAACUAGCUUUUGAUGAAGCAAAUGAUGAUAACUGCUUGGCAAGAACGAAACAAGACUAGUAUCCGCCUAGGAUCCAUCUUCAACAACAGAUAUUACUGCUCUCAUACGAAGAAAUCAUUAGGAGUAGAGAGGAUACAACAGGUCUCUACAAGAUCUUCAUAUUUCUAUCACAAAUUAUCAUCACUAGUAGUUUAUAGGUCAAGAAUUAUGGAUCUUCCGGUGCCAAGGACCAAUGACAUAUUAAUGCCCAAUUACACUUCAAGCUCUGUGGUGAUGUGGGAUUUCAUAGUUAUUUGUCUACUCUUCUCACUUCUGGUAGAUCAGAGGUAGAUAAUGGUAAGCAUGCCAAUGGGUGGAAUUCAGUGUAGUUUGGCUACAUAAACCCCCAUGUAUGUGUCCAUUCAGGACCGACCUUUACCAUUUAGCUUACAGUGUAUACCAAACUUGUCAAAGGACUAUCUCAAGUCAAUUCAGUGACUAUAAGUAUUUACAAUUCCGAGAGAUGUAUGCGGCACAAGCAUAGAGGUCCUACAUAGAACGAGUAAAGUGGUUCGACGGGAACACACUAUGGUUUUCACACCAACAUAGUGAAAAUUUUCUCAGAAUAACCUCUCGGUAUACUCGCAACUUCGUGUUGCUAGCGAUUACAUGUCCUUUUAUCUCAUAAUUUGCUUCAUGUCAUUCAGCGACAAAGAGAGCAAUGUGCUAACAUCUGGUUGAGCAAUGUAUGCUGAGAUUUAUAGUCUUAAAUUAUUUGGUAAGGCCUUUUGCUUACUAAUAGAAUCCCAAUUUGUGAUGUCUUAUAUGCCAAAAAGGCUUCCAUGCAUUAUAUAUCUUCAGGUUACUUCAGGUAAAACUUUAUGCAUGAGGAAAGAGAGCACGGAAUUAACUUAUCUGUGUUCUAUAUUAUUUCAUUUACUUUCCCAGAUUAUUCAAGCACUAUAGAGCUUGAUAUAGUUGUUAUAGCCACUUGGCAAUAUAAAUAAAUAUAUAAUACCACACAACACAGUCAAAUAAAAUAUAGAGCCAAACAAAAUUGUUUAUGAAGGUUGCGCAUAAUAUGACUUUAGGGGCUUGAACAAUUCACGCGAGUACAAGCUCUAGUGUAUAUGGCGUCAACACAUGUGCGGCCAUCAGGGCUACAACAACAAAUAAGCCUUCGCAACAAGCGCAACAGGCGCAAUUGUGGCUCGGUAGUUGGGUACAGGACAAGUCCACGCAACAUGCGCAACAGGCGCAAUUGUGGUUCGAUGAUCACGACAGACGGAUAGUGCCUACAGGGCUGCGAAAAAUGCGCGACCCGGCGAUGGCGGUCCGACUCAACGGGAGCGGUCCGAUGAAACGAGAGUGCAACAUAGCAAUCACAUGACGCAACCAAGUUCAUACGACACAAAUACUGCGUCGUGUUGCCAGGGCGCAGCCAAUGCUUAGCCAAUGUCAAAACUCAUCUGAUUAAUAAUUUAGUCUGAUCGGCAUAUCCGGAUACCCACUAUACAAUUUAAUCGCUCGACGUGAGUUUGAAGGCUCCACGUAUUAGAAAUAUUUAGAGCGAUAUGAAAAAACGUAGCAUAGCCUUCACAUGCAUUUUAAUAAUUUACUGCUAAUUAUUUACUAUGAGAAAUAAAAGCAGAAAAAUAAUAGAAUUAAUGCAUGUGCAUAAGCAGAUCACGUGUCAUUAAGGCAAUUUUCCCAUAUUCAAGCAUGCAUUUUCUACUAAUUAUUUACUGCGGGAAAUAAUUACUUAAAGUAGAAAUUGCAACAUAAAACAUGCUUCGUUCUAUUUAUUAUUUGCAGUAUAAAAUAAAUAGAAUAAAUCAUAUAAAAGAUGCAUAUAAAUUAAAAUUCGACCGACUUAAUUCAACGGGAAUUAAUAGGAAAAAUGGUAAGCCUUUUUUUUCUAGCCGUAUGCACUCAUGCGACAUCACGUGUGGAAGACGGCCACCAACAACCAGAUCCAUAUUUUUAGCAGCUUCUUUGACUAGGCACUUUUUUUUAACCGCACAGCUAUGCUGAUGUAACUGUUUUGACUAGUUCGAUGUAGCUGCAUGACGCGCGCACGGUCCAACCGAGACCGAACCUGACCGCUCCUUUUAUUUAUUUACUCCUUCUUUCACGGACAUGCAAAGACCGCAUCACGGUUCCCAUGCAUGCGGCCAUGCGGAUGGGAGAUGCAGCGGCACGCGGAGGAGCUGUUCCGCGAGGGCACUGGGCGUACAACAGGCUGCAUGCGGUUCGAGAAGACAGGCCGCAUGGUAGGCUGCUUUUUUUUCCUUUUUUUUCUCACGUCUCCAUGCGAACCGUAACAGCCAUCAAGGUUAUAGGAAAAAAAAAUCUAGAUCGGCAAUCACGAUCCGCUAUCCUGGAGGUGCCGGCAUGCACGGCUCCCGGCCCUUUAUUUCGCAAGGCAACGGUGUGGCUCCAGGCUUUAUCGUGAACUGCAGCACGACAUCUCGGCGCAUGGACCGAGACCAGUCGACCAUUGAAUGGUGCUCUGCUCCGACCAACAGCAUGCACACGGGCUCGUAGGCGAUAUACGCGAUGAACAGUAAAUUGCAGAUCCACUUAAGAUUUCAUACCGUUUGAUUGCGUAGAGGGAAAAUCGAAGCCUGUCGCGUAGGACAGUUCGGCUAGGCCGGAGACCUGCCGGAUUGACGGAGAGUUGAUGCAGAUCUGAUCCCGCAGCAACAUCGAGGUAGAGCGUGCUGAUAACGUGUUGAGAACUACGUCACCACGGAUCACCAGAUCCGCUCCUUUCCCUCCCGUCAGCAGAUUAGGCGCGAGAAGAUGUGGAAGACCCGUAUCCCUUCCCAGAAGCACGACAGAGAGCACACAAGACACAUGAUGUAGGGUUGGGCAUCUGGCCUCUUUCUCUUCUCCAUAUUAUGAAGG